GCGCUUGCUUUGGCAGCACAUAUAUUAAAAUUGGAAUGAUAGAAGAUUAGCAUGGCCCCUGUGCAAGGAUGACACACAAAUUUGUGAAGCCUUCCAUAUUGUU
Phyllostomus hastatus (greater spear-nosed bat) is the source of this 103-nucleotide small nuclear RNA. The record is from RefSeq and is a predicted model, not a curated record. Lineage: Eukaryota; Metazoa; Chordata; Mammalia; Chiroptera; Phyllostomidae.